Molecule: ribosomal RNA, 253 nt
Filed under: uncultured bacterium
Lineage: Bacteria
Description: partial 16S ribosomal RNA
Rfam family: Bacterial small subunit ribosomal RNA
Source: RNAcentral
UACGGAGGAUUCGAGCGUUAUCCGGAUUUAUUGGGUUUAAAGGGAGCGUAGGCGGGUUGUCAAGUCAGUUGUGAAAGUUUGCGGCUCAACCGUAAAAUUGCAGUUGAUACUGGCAUCCUUGAGUACAGUAGAGGUAGGCGGAAUUCGUGGUGUAGCGGUGAAAUGCUUAGAUAUCACGAAGAACUCCGAUUGCGAAGGCAGCCUGCUGGACUGUAACUGACGCUGAUGCUCGAAAGUGUGGGUAUCAAACAGG